Non-coding RNA from Podarcis lilfordi (Lilford's wall lizard), 25830 nucleotides. The record is from the annotation of a GenBank genome assembly. NCBI's taxonomy places the organism in Eukaryota, Metazoa, Chordata, Lepidosauria, Squamata, Lacertidae.
CUCUGUCGUCCCCUUCUCCUUGUGCCCUCCAUCUUUCCCAACAUCAGGGUCUUUUCCAGGGAGUCUUCUCUUCUGAUGAGGUGGCCAAAGUAUAGAAGUGCAUUAUUAGUCUUAAUACCUGCUAUUUCCCCAACCACCAGAACCAACCCAACCACCAUUGAAGCACAAUGGCAAUAACAUUGAUGAAAACUCCAGUGACUACUGGCAUGAUGAUGGGCAUAUUGGCAACCUGGCAAUGGCAGGUGUUGUUUACUGUGAAAGGGGUGCAAUAAUGUGUACUCUGUGUCUCUGACUAUUCUGAUAUAAUACAGCUGAAAGAAUACGUACAUUAUUGAUGCGCAGGGUGUACUUUCCAAAGUCUCUAGGCACAGAUCUUACUAUGGUCUUACUAUGAUACUUAAGGAAGAUUAAUGGGGACUAGUCACCACCUCAUUUGUUUGUAAAAGGAGAGCUGGUUUCAUCAAAGGAAUUGGCACCAUGCUGUAUUCUACAGAUAAUCUGUAACAGCUGCACUUUCAGAUAGCUGAUAUCUUAUCCUUCAUUUUCAAGAUUGUAUCUAUUUGUCUUCUCAUUUUUGUGGUUUCUUUAGAUCUCGAGGAUCCUAGGUAAUUUCUGCCUAUAAACCAUUUUUUUAAUUUCCUUUUUCUGAACAUCAGAGAUUGUUUAUUUCCCUCCCAACGAUUACAUUCCGUUUUCCUUAUGUAUGCGCUCUCCACCUUCUCCCCACCCCCUUACGGCAAUUUUCUGAGAGAUCUUUAAGAGAAAAGAAGAAAAGGCUGCAGUUUUCUAACCUGAUCAUGAUUUUGCAGGUUAACUCCAAAUGUGCGAAAUGUACAUGGCAUUCCUUUCAUGUUGAGGCAUGCCUUCAGGGACUUCCAUCAAGGUUUUUUUGCUCAAAUGGUCAUACAAUGUAAACUAACCAGAUUACACCUGUUGUUUCAUGAUAGAUUAAGUUUCUUUUAUUGUUUAAACAUAUUUUAUUUUUCAUGUUCUAUAGUUAGCCGUAUUGUUUGCAUUGUUUCCCCUCAAGCAUAAGAGUGAUCAACAAACUUGCCAAAAAUAAUCUCUUCUGGGGAGGGACUUUGAAUGCCUUUGUUAAUACCUUCGGCAUGUGUAUAUAUGACCAAACAAACAGAAUUGUGUACAUUUUUUAAAAAAAGUAUUUUCCAAGUUCACUCAAGUUCUUCAUAAGAAAAGGAUAAAUUAUGUAACUUGUAUAAAUUAGGUAAAUUAAGCACACCUAAAAUCUCUCUCUCCGUGUGUAAAUGUUCCAUUGUACAUACAGUGGUACCUUGGGUUACAGACGCUUCAGGUUACAGACUCUGCUAAUCCAAAAAUAGUACCUCGGGUUAAGAACUUUGCUUCAGGAUCAGAACAGAAAUCGCGUGGUGGUGGCAGGAGGCCCCAUUAGCUAAAGUGGUGCUUCAGGUUAAGAACAGUUUCAGGUUAAGAACGGACCUCCAGAACGAAUUAAGUUCUUAACCCGAAGUACCGCUGUAUAUGUUCAUGCUAUAUGUAUAUGCAUACAAGUGAUCAUAAGAAUGUGCGUGUACAACCUGUGUUCUUCCAUAUAUUGCUCCAACUUGUAUCAGAAACCAACAUGGCCAAUGGUCAGGCCUGAUGUAGCCCAGUUGCAUACCCUCCAACAUUUCUCCGAUGAAAAUAGGGACAUCCCAUUCCAUAUGAUAGUUUUACUGUUUAUACCCCACACAUCUUACUGGGUUGCCUACCACUCUGGGCAGCUUCCAGUAUAUAUAAAAACAUAAUAAAACAGUAAGCAUUAAAACUUCCCUGUACAGGAUUGCCUUCAGACAGCUUGGGGGUCAGAUAACUCCAUACCCUCCAACGAAAAUGGGGACAUCCUAAGGAAAAGUGGGACAUUCCAGGGUCAAAUAAGAAACCAGGACAGCUUCUAUAAAUCAAGGACGUCCCUGGAAAAUAGGGACACUUGGAGGGUCUGCAGCCAAGUCCAGUGGCAUCCUGAAAGCCACAUAUUCCUCAUUCCAAAGUGGAGAUUCCUGAGGUGCCCAAAUUCUAGUUAUUUCAUGCUGAUUUCCACAUUUCUUUUUCUUGUGUUGCAAAAGUGCAGUAUCAACUCAACUCUGGUCAUCCCUGCAAUAGUUGUAGUAGGUAUAGCUUCUUCAGGGCUGCGCUUUCAUUAAGGUUGCACACAUAGAACAAAAGGCCUACCCUCACUCUCUUGUGCCAUUUAUGUUAUUUAUUUUGAUUUCUAUUGCAUCCUGACACAAAGACUUCGGGUAGAUUACAGGCAUUGUACAUCCAAAAGAGAAUGAUUCACUUCCCUUAAAGGGGGUCAUUGACAGAGCACAAUAGAUCAAUGAACCCAGGGACAAAAGGCGAAUGAAGGAUACACAUGCCUUUUAAAAAGCUUAAUCUAAAAAAUAUAUCCCAGGUGAAAGAAGGAGAAUAAAUCCCAUGUUUCUGCAGCAAGGAUCAGGAAGCUGUUUCUCUCUCUGGCUCUGUCUUUUUCGCCAGCCUGCCAUUGUGCACCAUAAAUGUCAAUCUACCUACCUAACUGCCCUGCUUUUCCAACAGGGCAGCUGGCAUAACAUGGCCUCCAUGGUUGGCUAGGGCUGGGAUGAGGACCUUUCUUCAGCUCAAGGGUCACACAGCCGCGUGAGCAGCCUUCCAGAGUUGGCCUGCCAAUGGGGGACAGGGCCAGAGGCAAAAAAUAAUAAUAGGUGGAGCAACAGACAGGGGUCCGCUCUUUGGACAGUAGGCUACAUUCCAGCCAUGCAAAAGUCAGAGCUUUCUGCACACACAUUUCUCCAUCCAGACAAGCAAAAGGCAUUAUCAUAGUCCAGCAUCCUGGUGCCAUGUGUUGCUUUGUUUUAUUUAAGAUUGUGGGACUUCCGAUUCCAAACAAAGCAUUUUAUUAUUCGUUGUAAAAAGGCAGAACACUGCUAGGCGUAAUACUACAAACUUGAGAGCUUUCCUUCUACUCAGUCACAAUGAUCUGCUCAGAAGUGUUGCCUGGCCAGAUGAGGGCCAGGUGGACAUCUAUAGAGGGCCACAUUCAGCCCCCAGCCUGAGUACCCCCAACCCUAGCCACCAGGGGUCCAGUUGAUUUAGUAGGAGGCUCACUGAUAUCUUUCCUUUUUCUCUGGUUUAUUUGACAGAUUUAUUUGACACAAUUUCUAGAUUGUCUUUUAAACUUAAAAACACAACAAAGAUACCAGUUAAACUUAAAAUGUUGGUCAGAUUAUUUCCUACCUAACCUUCAGACACCACAAUUGGUAUUUGAUUAUGUUACAAGUCAUGAUAUGCAAAAUAGCAGCUCAUUGUACACAUAGCCAAAUGGCACUGAUACAAGAUAAUUGCUGUUACUAACUAUUGUUAUGGGUUCAGUUUGGCCCAUGGACUGCAGGUUCUACACUUACUGACAGCAGCUUUCUGGGGUUUCAGGCCAGAGUAAUUUGCAGCCAUUGCUCGGGAUGCCAGGAAUUGAAUCUGGACUUUUUGUAUAUAAAGCUUUCCAUGGAUAUCUGUUUGGCCACUCUGAGAACUAGAUGCUGGGCAUGCUGGGCCACUGGCCUGAUGUAGUAGGGCUGCUCUUAUGAGCUGUGUCCCCUCAUUAAUCAUACAACUGUGUGUUAGUAGAAGUAUAAUUAUUUCCAAUUGACUGCUGUAGCACAAUCUGCUCAACCAAUGAAAGGAGUGAAGUGCCAGUAGGGGAAUCCCUUUGCUAUUGAAGAUGCUUGGUUGAAUAUUUGGGGCAAUAAGCUAAUUACUUCCCUGUCACCUCAGUUGUUCAAAGUACCUAUUUGACCCAGUGACAACUUCUAAUAUUACAUCCUAACUGGGUCUUAACUGGGGACCUGGAAUCCCUUUUGACUAUUCAGUUGUCUUAUCUCUAGUUUCAUCAUCUUGCUUCUUGUUUGUCAACUGGAUUUAUUUUAUAAAUAUAACUGAUAUUUCCAUGUGAAUUAUCCCUAGAAGUUAGUAAGCUGAAAUGUUUUCCAGAAGGCACACAGUACCCAACUGGCCCGCUUGGCCACAGUCUGUUCAUUAUCAUGCUCUAAAUUUCACUCAAAAGAUAUCUUUUUGGCUGAUGUACUCAAAGCACCUGGAAAAUGUCAGCCUGAGGUUUGCCAGAAAGACAUGUCCAGCAUAACAACACAGCUUCAGCAUGUGUCCAGAUAAAGCAGAACAAACAAAAAACAAUUGGAGCUUAUUGUAAAAAGUUAGAGUAACUUAAAGGCACAUCUAUACAACACCCUUUCUCAAUCAUACAGUGACCCCCCUGAGAAUCUCAUGAUCCUCAGCACAGGAAGUGUGGUGAAAGCCUGCUGACAGCUUUCUGACAAUCCCAUGAACUUUAAUCCUACUUUUCAAGAGUUUAACUGCACAUGAUCAUUACUGCAAAAUGUAGAGGAGACAUGUGACUUUCAUUCAAUUCUUCUCCCAGUGUGUUUCAGGAUAAUCAAGGGAAGGCUCUUAAUAUACAGUAAGAACUGUUGCAUGCUUUUGUGAUACCUCCAAAAAAUUCAGUGACCAGAUGUAUGGCAGGCAUAGCCAAGGUUAGCUGGGGCUGAUGGGAGUUGUAGGCCAACAUAUGGAGGGUACCAGGUUGCCUAACCCUGAUGUAUGGUUAACAAUGGCAAUGAUGUUGUGUGAAAUGUCAUUGCUAAUCAUUACCACCUUUGGAAUCCAACAACUGUUCCAGAGUCCAUGGUGAGCCAUUUGCUUCUCUAAACCCGCUGGAGCCAAACGCUUCGUGAACCUGGACUCUACCAUUUCAAAGGUGUAUUUCAUGCGGAAAUGCUUCAUCGCAAUAACAAAGCCCUAUACAUAUAAAAUUACCAAAGCAGAGAGAAGUCAAGGCUGAAACUUUACAUCCUGAAAUGUAACUUCCUAUGCAUACAGGGGCUUUCUUUGACAUGGGUUGAGAUUCAUACAAUCCCCAGCCUAUAAUAUCAGGUGGUGGCACUUUUGUUGCGAUAAUUGCAAACAACAGUAGAAUCUCUACAUAGAUAAAAAGAGGGGAAAGUCAACUGCAUCUAGAGAUUCAGUCAGAAAUAAUCUGGUGCUAUGGAAGAAGCAGAAAGAAAACUCAUGCCCAUAAAUCAUUCCCAUGCAACCUGCUUUGGGUAUUUAUAUUUAUUUUCACAUUGUUCCUGGUGUUUGCUAUUUACUUAAUGGGUUCCUGCCAUCUUCUAUUCCCCGGUGGCAUGUUUUGUUAUUUCUGUUUAUAAUGGGUUUUGUUCCCCCUUUUAAAUUAGAGAAUGUGGAGAUUUGCUUGGUCCUGUAUGAAAUGUUGAUGCUUCUUACGAGAACUGAAAUUCCCCAGAGAUUUCUCUCUGCGUCUCUCUUUUUCUUACACACACACACACACACACACACACACAGGAAGUCGAGCUUUUGCAAAGAUACGGGAGGAUAUGGGAAUACCAAGCUAAUCAAAGAAUGAAACUAUUCAUGAUUGUUAGACACUUACCAGUUCCUUGCUCCUUAGCUGUUAUCUGUAAAGUGAAAAGAUUUUGGCUAGCUGCUUGUUUGGUAACUGCUUUUCAGAGCACCAGGACCAGAUAAGAGGAAAUGAGAGACAAAACAGUGCAAUUAAAAGCAGUAACAGGCAGAAAGAAACAAAUUAAAGAUAAUUAUUGCAACAGAAGAAUGCCAUAACAUGUGUGAAGCAGUUGCAUUAUUGCAGUUAGGGAAACUGAACAUAUAUCCCUGUUCUGUUCUUUUUAUACAUAAUGUACACAAUAGAAAUACAUUUAGAUCUAAAUGUAAAAAAUGUAGAGGUUAAAUGCCUAACUUGGAGGCCCUUCAAGAAGUCUUGUUGUGCAUUCAUGAGGAUUUGUACACAUGAUGGCAAUGCUGUUUGCAUGUUCAGACCCAGAAACCACCUCCCUAAUUAAAUUCACACUUGACUCAAAUUUUAGUUUGGUUUUUGGCAGAAUUUAGGCCACAACUUUGAUUACAGAAAGUGAGUGGUUGCAUAGGCUCUGGUUCAACCCCCUCUCUACCAUGCAGGUAGCGCUGACCCAGGGUUCCAGCACAGGUCAGCCAAGGAUGAACACCUGGAUAGGCGGAAAGUUGGGAACAGACUAUGUCCACCACCCAGACAUCCCCCUGGACUCAGGCAUAGGCACAACCCCCUCUCAAGGUUUGACUAAACCAUCUGAGUCCCUGGAUUCCUUUAACGGAAUACCCUUCACAUAGGGAUGGCGAGAGCGUUCUCCCAUCCCUAUCACCUGAACCAGAGCCUAUCCACAACCUUCCAAGUUGUGACAAAUUGCUACGCGGCAGGUGAAACCCAAAUGGCAACAGCCAAGUGGGGGAAAUUCCUGCCAUGCCCCUGUCCCAAUGACAGAUGACACACGACGGCAUAGCAAGGUCGAGCGCAACAAGCCCUAAAAGUAGGGAGAGAUGGGCAGGUGUUCCGAAUAAACGUGCCGAAAGAGGGAGCUCUGGGUCACGUUCAUGGGCAUAAAUAGGUCCCUCAAACCGUUUGGACUGCGUCCCAUUGGCCAGAUUGUACCCAGCUUCGAGGGACCUACCAAACGGAUGUUGUGGUUGACCAAUCGUACCCACCCACAACACAGGGUGUUGGUUUCCUGGGACUCCCCGCAAUACGUGCCCUCUUUAAGGAAGGACCCGAUAUAUCCCUGUUCUGUUCUUUUUAUGCGUAAUGUACACGAUAAAUACAUUUAGAUCUAAAUGUAAAAAAUGUAGAGGUUAAAUGCCUAACUUAGAGGCCCUUCCAAAAGUCUUGUUUGUUGUGCAUUCAUGAGGAUUUGUGCUCAUGAUGGCAAUUCUGUUUGUGCCAGCAAAGGUUUCAAGGCAGCCAUACUACUUUGCUUCCAAUCAAUGCUUCCUCCCCAAACCCUAUUUGUUCUAGUUUAUUUAUUUUUUUGUCCCACGUUUGAUGAGCCCCAUUUGCCCCUCACUUUCCGUCACUUUUACAGCACAUGCAGAAACUGCCUUCUGGACAGAUUGAGCAGUCGAGACCAACAGUGGGUGCAACGGCCUUCUUGACCAUUGGGCCCAUUAUUGGUCUUGUCCACUUAACUGCAUGAGCCUUUCUUCAUUUGCUGCAUCCCUUUAGCAGAAGGCCCCUUAGCUCUGGUAAAUUUUGAUAGAGAAAACCCCAAGCAAAAGUGUUUUGGUUUUCAGGUUAGCAGCAGCUACAAGACCAAUCCCCUACUUUUGAUUGCUUUUUAGUACAUGGCAUGACACAAAUGCCUAACUGUGGCUGGCAAGCUAAGUGGUAUUUUGUACCAAGCUAAAUGUUUGCCUGGCGACCAAGUAAACUUUGCCUCACACUGAGGCCCAACCAGUUAUCAUACUAGCAGCAUGGUGUGGUCAGCGAUGCCAUGUGGGCCAGGUGACUGAUGUUGUUGCUUCCAUGCCAACAUCACUGUGUUGGCAUGGUCUUUGCUUUUUCAAACUUCCCACUGUUUUCCAUUCAUCUAGCGGGCCCAUGCCUCAACUUAACAUACACUCAUAAAAUUACAGCUAAGUUGUAUUCACAUGUUCCCAAAGAACACAAGUUUAGCAGCUACCAAUAUGAGGGAAGGUAUUUAUUCAGAAUUGAAUUUCUACUCUACAGAUGUGACAGUGCUUUUUUCUGGGGGUACUCAAGGGUAGGGAGUACUGGUACCUUUUUUUUCAAAUAUUAAAAGUGUGGCACUUACUGUAACAAAUUCAUAGUGAAUACUGACACUUUUCUCUCUCUCUCUCUCUCUAAAAAAAGGCACUGGAUGUACCUACUUUCAAUAGCACAGAAGGCUCCUCUAUUGAGGAAUCAAGCAAAAGAAGCACUUUGUUUUUCCCCUGGCUGCUGAUUUGAGGCUACUGAUUUUGCUUAAUGCUCUUUGUAAUAUGCUCAUGCUCAGCUAGAUAUCUGGUACAGGAAAUCACAGAAAGUUGUCUUCCAAUGCCCCAUCUCAUUCAUAUGGGUGUCAUACAUUACUAGUGAUGCAUGGCCAUCCCUAUGCUCACUACAAAGAGGCUGGAUCCCUUGCGCAUGCACACUCACAAAGGUGUUACUUUGCACAUGAUCCGAGUGCAAAAUAAGUAUGUUCCAAACACUCAGUUGAUUGAAACAGCUGCUGCCACUUCCUUGCCUCCAAAGAACCCACUCCUUUGUGGGUCAGAGGAAGGAGUAGCAGGUACUUCAGGUCCUCAACCCAGCAUUCUUCUCCCCACAUCUUGCUAGAAUUGCCAUCCUUUUUGCUGGCCUGCUUCCAUGCCUUUAACAGCAGCCUGAUAUGCUCAAAUUAAAUAGAUGAAAGCUUGCCUAUUAGGGAGACAGAAGAAUAAAUAGGAAAGGAAUGGAAAACAGAAUUCCCAAUAUAAUACUGCCCUUAUGGAAAUGUAUGGUGAGGCUACACCUGGAAUACCAUUUGUAGCUCUGGCAACUUCGCCUCAAAAAAGUUAUUGUAGAGCUGGGAAAAGGGUUCAGGAAAGGACAACCAAAAUGAUCAAGGGGAUGGAGCAAGUCCCCUAUGAAGAAAGGUUGCAACAUUUGGGCUUUUUAGUUCUGAGGGAAAGGCAAGCAAGAAGAGACACGAUAGAGGUAGAUAAAACUAUGCAUGGUGUGGGAAACAUGGACAGAGGAGUUUUUCUCCCUCUCUCAUAAUUCUAGAAUCAGAAACAUCCAAUGAAGCUGAAUCUUGAAAUAUUCAGGACAGAAAAAAGGAAACAUUUUAUAGAAAAUAAAUACUAUGUGUUAUAAUAUUAUAUUUUCUAUGCAUUCAUUGCAUAGUUAAACUGUGGAAUAUGCCACCACAAUAUGUAGUGAUGGGCACCGAUUUGGAGAGCCUUAAAAGGAAAUUAGACAAUUUCACGGAGAAUAAGACAAUGGUUUUUAGCCAUUUUACAUUGGAGGUGGUAUGCCUCUGAAUUUCAAGUCUCCAUUCUUUUGUGUUUCACAGUGCUUCUUCUGAUGUGUAUAAAAUACAAAACAAAUAACAGCACAAAACAAAGUACCACAAAUCCUAAGUUUGGGACAUUUUCUUGCUCAGGUAGAUUCACAAGAACCAGGGCAGCCUCCUCUGAUAGGCCGUAAAGCCAAUUCUUUCCUUAAAUUUGCUUUCUACUCUCACAUGAGCCCAUAUUUCAGCUGAGAUACCCACCCUCCAAUUAAAAGGCUGUUGUUGGAAACUUAGAACCCUAUGCAACUGUGGUAUUUAUUGAGGGUGGUUUGCACUUCCUCUUAGUUAUGGUCUCGCUGGGAUUAUUUUAGUUCAUAUGGAAAAUAACUCUGCGUUCUUAAACAUAGAUAAUGGCCACACUUUAUGGGUGGUGGAGAUAUGCGUGGUCCAAUAUUUUGUAGUAAUGUUUUUACUAAGAUUGUAAAAGGUCCAAGUUGGUGAUGCUGAAAGCAUUUUUGUUUUGGGGCACCUCCAGAUGAGUGUUUAUUAUGGCAUCAGUGGUCUGCAUAUCAUCUCGGAAUAUAUUUUGCAGCAUUCACAUGGUAUUGUUGGCCUCAAAAUGCUGGGAAAAUCUGAUAGGUGAAAAUAUGAACCCCUUUUGCCAAUGUCCCACUUGCAAUAUCCAAAUGACCCUUUUCCAAAUUAAGCCCCUCACUCCCCAAUCUGGGAGUACCUUUUGUGUGUGUGAAGGGGACUUUAUUAGAAACUAACCUCAGUAACAAUUUGAAGUGAGUCCGCAUAUUGCAUUAUUUGCAUGAGAACCGCAAUUAUCUCUUGACAGCCUGAAUGUGUGAAACUGCUAAACUGCUCUCCCCACUGCUGGCAAGAUCAGUCAUCAUUAAUCAGCAUUGCCACUUAUCAUAUCAGGUAAUUAACCGACUUAUGGGGCCAAACAGGAAGCUAAUGAGAUUAUCAUGUUGGUCGACACCUGUCAUGUUACAUUCAUCACUUUUAAAUCUCACCUGAAGACAAACGCUUGCAAAAUAAUGUGUCACAGUUAAAUGAAUAGGAUAAACCUUCAGGCGAGCAGCUGGCAAUCACAGGACUAAGGUUUCCCAUUCCUCACAAGGAAGCAUGAGAAUCAGAAAUGGGUGGAGCAAUGAGUACAAAUGUUUACCUUUGUGCAGUAAGCUAAUUUCUACACACAAGUGCUGUAUGUCUUUGAAGUAAAACUCCCCUCUUCCCCGAUCAUUGGCUGUUGUGGCUGGGGUUGAUGGGAACAGGAGUCAAGCAAGGUCUGGAGAGCCACAGGUUCCCCAUCCAUGGUGGUGGAGAAGAGGAGUACGUACUCCAGCUCCCUGCCUGCUUAACCCCUGACAUUCCCACACAGAGGUCUGGGAAAGGCUUAGAAGUGCAUUCAGAAGAACAUGUUUAGAAGACAUGCUGUGAUCAGGAACCCAGCAUUAUUGGGUUUGCUGAUCAUGUGGAGGCUUCUAAGCAUGCUCAGCUUAUAUUUGGAUUGAACAUAAUGCACAAUCACAAAAUGACAGCUGACAGCAAGGCAAUAAUAAUAAUAGUCAGUUGAUAUGGCAGAAGCAGAAUGGUAGUACAGUUGGACCUUGGUUGCUGAACAUAAUCCAUUCCAGAAGACGGUUUAACUUCUGAAACAUCUGAAAGCUGAGGCUCAAUGGACAGUCGGCAAAAUCCAUUGGAAAAAUGGACAAAUGCCCCUCAGAAGCCGUUCAACUUCCGAGGCGUGUUCGAAAACGGAAGCAUUCACUUCUGGGUUGUCGGCGUUCGAAAGCUGAAAUGUUUGACUUCCAAAGCAUUCAGCAACCGAGGUUCCACUGUAAUAGGUUCUGGGGCACCACCCUUCACCCAGUUAAACACACACACACACACACGCAUCUUUCUGUCUGCUAUCUACUUUGCUCACAGUGGGCUGCUCCCUUAAAAUCAGAUCAGGCUAAAAAUCCCAAUUUAUACACAGUAGACUGCUUCUCCAUCCAGACUUUUGGGGGUGGGGUGGAGCACAUUCACUUUUUAAAAAAAUGGACAUAAGGUUACAUGGUUCAUUGUGCUCCAGUUUGGAGAUGUCAGCCACUUUCCAGUUUUGACGUGGAAUACUCCUCUGUCCCCUUGCUUUGAUGUGAUUGUUGAAAGAGAUGACUAUGCUUUGAUGCUGCAAUCACACAGUGUGGACAAGCAACAUGCUCUUGUCAAGCUCCUAGUGGUACAGCAAUGAAACUGCUAGCACAUCUGCAAAGCUAAGCAGGGUCCAGUAUGGUUUCAAAUUGGUUGAGAGACUAUGUGCUGAGGUCCCUGCAUUGCAGGAGGUUGGACUAGAUCACCCUCAGGAUCCCUUCCAACUCUAUAAUUCUGGGAUGCCUCAACAUAGGCUAAGGAAUUUUGGCAUCCUAAAUGGGGUAUUUGUGAAUGAUGUACAUCUUCCAGAGCAGACAUAAGUAACUCUGAAAUUUGAUAUUUGAAUAUGAUAUCCUUUUGGUUUAAAAACAAAAACAAACUCUUGGUCACUUCAUGGAUUUACAUAUUAACAUUCCUAUUUAUUUUUUAAAGCUGCUCUGCCUACUUUUGACAUUAUUAACUAUUUUAAUUUGAAACAAACUUGGAGGCAGUGUGGCCUAGUGGUUAGAGUGUUGGACUAGAGAGAUCAGGGUUCAGUUCCUUAAUUAGCCAUAGGUGGACUUGGGCAAGUCACUGUCUUUUAACCAAAACUAUUUUUCAGGAGAGAACCAUACCUCAUGUAUGUCAUACAGUCAUACCUCAUGUUACGUCUGCUUCAUGUUACGUUCUUUCAGGUUAUGUCCUGUGGUGACCCGGAAGUACCAGAAAGGGUUACUUCCGGGUUUCGCUGCUCGCACAUGCGCAGAAGUGCAAAAUGAUGUCAUGUGCAUGCGCAGAAGUGGCAAAUCGCAACCCAUGCAUGCGCAGAUGUGACACUGCGGGUUGCGAUCUUUUCAUGUUGCGAACGGGCCUCCGGAACAGAUCCCGUUCGCAACCAGAGGUACCACUGUACACCAGAUUCAGCUCCUUAGAGGAAAUAUGAGAUAUAAUUAAUCUAAAUAAAUAAAUAAAGCUUAUUAAUGACUUUUCAACUAUUAAAAAAGUUUUUACACUUUAUCUACUUUCUAGUGUGUUUCAACUUUCCUGGAUUUUAUUUCCUGUGAAAGCCUGAUCUUAAAAAUCAAAUAAAACAGAAUCUAUUUCUGUGCAUCCGAAUUGACAUUCAUAAAUAUGUAUGCAUUUUCUAUUAUGUAUUUAUUGUAAUGUAUUUUCUGAUGUAGCGCACCACUUGUUUUCUCAAGUAAAUUUCACUACAUUCUGGAGGGAUUGCUUCCAAGUAAUUAUGCAUAGUCUUGCAGCCUUAGGAAAUACAUUGAUUGUACAAGUUCAAGAGCAUCACAUCCCUGCAGAUUAUAGCCUUAGAUAGCAAGCAGAUAGCCAUGAAGAAUUAAAAGAAAAUUAUAGCCUGUCACAAUAAUGGUUCGUAUUUGUUGCUUAUAAUAUUUUAGCAUUUCUGAUUAAAAUAAAAUAAAAACAAAUUUGUUUUGAUUGAAAGGAGGUGAACUGAGCAAAGGAACUGUACGGUAUUUGAAUCAGUAGCAAAGAAAAUGUGUGAAUGGCUGCAUUUCCCCACUGCUGUUUUUGAUUGCAUUAUUCUUGUCACUUUGCAUCUUUGCAACAUGCACCCUGCAUCUCUUGUACACUGUAGACAGCUGGUCUUGUUUUCCUUUUCUGAUUUCUAUGCAUUCUCUGGCAAGGCUAGCAAUGUUAGAACACAGAAGUACAGACAAAUAAGCAGUCACCAAAUAGUAUUUUUUAUUUCCACUUUACUUUAACCAUGACCCAUGAUAGAUUCAGAUGUCAGCACUGGAAGAAAACAUCUCUUCGUAUUAACACAAACUGUGCUACUUUUUCAUAUAACAUUUCUCUGCUUUCCCUACACACAUUUUUUUUUUCAUUCUUAAAAAAACAUAGCCAGUAUUUAUUCAGAUAGUGUAUAUCCAGUGGGCAUUGAUUUCCAUAAUCAUUGCAGCCGUUUUACUUGUACAGAGAAACAAUCCUUUUCCAGAGGCAAAACUAGAUGCUUGGUGACACAGACCUGUGUUUGGGAAUCUGUUUUGCCACUUAAACACCUGCCAAGCUGGGCAAGAGCUAUUUAUAGUGGGAGAUUAGAGGGCAAUUUGUAGUGUGGGAUAGAGAAGGAAAGGAUACUUUAAAAAUUAUGAUUACAUUUAUAUACCACCUUUUUCUCCCAAGGAGCUCAAAGUGGCAUAUAUGGUUCUCCUCUGCCCUCUUUCAUCCUCACAACAACCUGUUGCACAUCAUUUAAAUGUAUAACAUACACAUAUGCACUCCAGGUUUCCUAAAGUACCCAACACAUAAAAAGCUACAUACCACAAUGCCUAUAAAAGUAUAAAAAUACUAUCUUCCUGCAGCAUAAUUUUGUAAUUAUUAAUAGUAUCACGGGAGGCUUUUACAUGUAAUAUAUACAUGCAUUUUGCCUAUAUUUAAUCUGUUUUAUUAAAAAACACACACACACAGUGCAUGAGUGGCUCAGACUUAAGUGUGCACCCCACUCAAGAUGCUUUGGUUUGAUGUGGCCCAAACCCAGUCAGGUUAGAACCACCCAUUUCUGUGCAUAAAAAGGUAAAGGUAAAGGGACCCCUGACCAUUAGGUCCAGUCGCGAACGACUCUGGAGUUGCUGUGCUCAUCUCGCUUUACUGGCCGAGGGAGCCGGCGUACAGCUUCCGGGUCAUGUGGCCAGCAUGACUAAGCUGCUUCUGGUGAACCAGAGCAGUGCAUGGAAACGCCGUUUACCUUCCUGCCAGAGCGGUACCUAUUUAUCUACUUGCACUUUGACAUGCUUUCGAAAUGCUGGUUGGCAGGAGCUGGGACUGAGCAAUGGGAGCUCACCCCGUCGCGGGGAUUUGAACCGCCGACCUUCUGAUCGGCAAGUGCUAGGCUCUGUGAUUUAACCCACAGCGUCACCCGCAUCCCUUUUCUGUGCAUAGGUUCAUUUAAAAGAGGGCAUUUCCUCCAUCCCUCCAUCCAACGGCCAAUCUUUUAGACUUCCAAGUACAUUAAACAAACAAUGAAUAUUUAGACCCUAAAUUCUGUUCAAUUAAUUUACAAAGCUCGAGCAAUUUCUCCAUUAGCUGUGCCAAAGUUAACUUUAAUUUCUGACUACGGGCGCUUUGCUGCUUUGAAGCUCAGCGGAAUAGUCACCCAAAUGGUAUCACAUCUGGCUUUUAUUUUAGCAUACAUGGAGAUGGCAAUUAUCUAAUCUAACCAUCAGUGUCCGUGGGGGGUGGGGUGGUGAUACCUUUAGCUGGAGAUGUUCCAGAAAUGCAAACACUCCUUAUUAGCAAUAGAGAAAGAUAGCCACUUCUUGUGUGUGUUUUUAAGGGAGGGGACAAUUUCCAUUUGGCCUGAAUACUGAAGACAGAGAAGAAUCAUUGUUCUGCCUCCAUUGACUCACAUUCUUUCCUCCAACUCUUUGUAAGAUUAGUGUGUGUAGAACUUAGAGCCCCCCAAUUAAUCAAUUUGCCCCUUUGUCUUGCAGAGUUUCACUCCUAUUCAGUUUCUGAACGGCACCCUGCUUAGCAGUCUUGUAAUUCCUUUUCUCUCAGGCUUGCGCCCUAAAAGGAGGGAGUGUAGGAUACAAGGAGAAGAAGCCAGCCAUCAACCUGUAGUAGCGACAGAUAGCUUAAGGUCCCCCUGCCCCCCACUUUCUUUUCAGCGAGGUGCUGAAUGGAGGAAGGUUAGCCGACAAAUAAAGGGAUGGGUUUUUCAGCUCCUGCCUGGGAUUUCAAGGGGACCCCAUGACAAUGACUCACAGAUUAGAGUUUAUUUUAGCCAUUAGUUGCCACUGGCAGCUUAGACAUAAUGACCCGGACAAAAGAAAGCCCUUCUGAGACCCACAGACUUAUUAUCUCCCCCUAAAUCUUCUCUCCUUGUCACAUGUUUACCAACACUCCACACUGCCAUUGUGGCUGCUGAAUUCAAAGCUUUCUCUUGGGUGCAAAAUGUUAAAUAGGGGAGAAAUUACCAUUUUAGUGCUGCCUCCUGUCACACAUCCUGUAUGAAGCAGGAACGGUUAGUUUAUAGCCCUUCUAUAACACCUUUGGAAGGAAGGAAGUUUAACCCUGUCAACAUUGCUAGUCCUGCCUUGCAAAAAGUACAAAGAAAUAGCAGUUCCCAGGCUGUUAGUCUGUUGCAGCAAAAUUGACAAGAUUCCCGUGGCACCUUAAAUGGAGACUGACAAGUUUUAUGGUGGCCUAUGGUUUUGUAGACUAAAGUCCACUUAAUCGGAUGCAACAAAUAAGUACGUAGUGUUCUCUUCUGUCAAACUAUUGCCUUGCUUUGCCUUCAGGGUUUAGUGAGAAAACUCUUCAGUUUUCUGUGAAAGACUAAAGAGGAAGCCUGAGAUUUGCCACUGAAAGACUUCUGGUAGAUUUCCCUGUGAGAAAUAGAAGACCGUUCAUUCUGAAGUGAUCAUAUGUGAACCUCCAUUCUGAGGCUCUGUUGCUCCUCUCAGCGACACCAUGGCACCGUUUUGUACUGAUGUUACAAUCUUCUAGGGUUUGCAAAAUUUUUGGGCCUAGUGGUCAUAUUUGGAAUGUUUAAAAAGUGCCAUGGAGGUGUGGCAUAACACUAAAUGGCAGAAAAAAUAAGACUACAAAAGGGCAUGGGCAUUCUCCCAUUUCAGUGGGUGGAAAGGUGCCUACAUGAGCCAUUGUCACACUCCUCAGACAGAUAAGCUUUUUCCACCACUCUUCUGUUCAAAACAAAAAGGAGGGAAGGUCUCAAGUCUUCGUAUCCAAGGAAAUGUGUGCAUAUUCAAAGGGGUGUGUUCAAUGUAGGAAAGGCCAAGCCAGUGCAUGCAUGAACUGAGAUCAGGAAGAGCAAAUAGUCUCUCAUGAACUGUGGAUUUUUUAGAGGAUAUUUACUGAGAAAUUUCAUGGGCACCAUUGGAAACACUGGCAGACACCUGGCCUCAUCAAACCAUGGAAUAUUUUAAAGAGCUGUUCCAGGGCUCACUGGGAGAUGAGGUUCUCAUGAUGUUCUCUGUGACAUAGUCAGGUGUAAACUUCGCUUCAUAAAUACAGCUUUACAUUUAAGUAGUUCAUGUCCUUUUAAAAUGACGCUCUUUAAAGUGCUUUUUGAAUGCUGUAUGAAUGUACCCAAAAUAUCUUUGAGGAGAGUCCUUCAGCUGUGGCAAGAGUAUAGGCCAUCUGUUGCAAGAUUAAACUAGUCAAUCUCCCACCAACAUUUCACAGACGGAUGGAUUUGCUUUCACUGGGUUUUACAGAAAGUCAUUAGCAGACUCAAGGACAGAAUUAGUAACUCUUCAGUUGCUCUGGUCCCUGAUGUAUUUCUUGGAAGCGGCUGUAUUUGCAGAUAACUUUUCAAAAAACAAACUCUAAAGCUAUUCUCACAGCGACAUUAACUUUUUUAAUGCAUUGCAUUUAUAACCGUUUUAAUUCUUGACAUUCCACUGAGGUUUGGCAACUGUUCCCACCAAUGUUUACCCCACAUGUACAUUUCAUGCUUGGAAUGAUUUUUUUAUAUAAAAAACCCUUUGGCUAUCCCAUACACUCUUGAAAGAUGUCUUGGAGGAAUCAGUUGAAAAUGAAUGUCUAUCCACUUAGUUGUGUUUGGGUUAAACUGUUCUUAAACCAAUAAUCCAUAGUUUCUCACUUUGUCCAACAUGGGAAACUAUGGUUAUUGGCUUUGGAACAAGCAAGGAUCUUGAAGUAGGCUAAAGAUCCUGGUUUGUUCCAAAGCUGGUAACCAUAGUUUUCUAGUCCAGAUGAAAUGGGGAACUGUGUGUAACUAAUAAGAAUUACAGGCUUAAUUGCAUGCAUGUUGGGAAAGAUUGAGGGCACAAGGAGAAGAGGAUGACAGAGGACGAGAUGGUUGGACAGUGUUUUCGAAGCUACUAACAUGAGUUUGACCAAACUGCGGGAGGCAGUGGAAGACAGGAGUGCCUGGCGUGCUCUGGUCCAUGGGGUCCAUGAGGUCAGACACGACUAAACGACUGAACAACAACAAGAGGUAGAGUAAAAGGGCAAAAGGCUUUCUCAUAUCUUGGCCUGUUAAGCCUGAAUCAGCUAACUGUCUCUGCUAAUUCUGUUUCCUGCUGGAAGAUGACACUUACAGUAGCUCUGCAUCUUCCAGAGAUAAACUAACCACACCUUACUCCACUUAAUCUAGAAUAAUUACUCUUUAGAAGAAGAAAAAAUGAAAAAUGUUGCAAACCUCAUUGAAAUUAUUUUUACUUCCCUUGAAAUUCCUGUGAAUGCUGUGCCAGAACUGAAACAUGCAAAUUCACUUCACUAAGCAGCAUCCUAUUUCAUUUGCCCAUGAAAAGUUUUGAUGUCCUGUGUUCCAAUAAGUCUUUUUAGAAUCCAUUUUCUUAGAGGACUGGACUAAUGACCCUUGAGGGGUCUACAAUUCUAUGUGUAAUAAUGGACUGGAAGAUUGAACGAAAGCCUGCAAUUUAACCAUUCGUAUCAUGAAUAUGAAAAGAUACUGAAAUAGUGUUAAGUGACAAACAAUUUAUAAUAAGUGGGGUUUUUAAAAAAAUAAUUACCCUAAAUCUGAUGUGCACAUCUGCUUAGAAGUCAGUCCCAGCUCUGUUGAGUGGUUUCUCCUUUAGCUUUUGUGUACAGGGCAACACCCAUACUCAGCUUACAAAUAUGAUACCUAUAAUACCUGGGCAACUGUAGUGCUAUUUUGGACAGUAAACUGAAUAUGCAAAGGGAGCCAAUGCUAGUGUUAGUGGACAGAGAAGUGGCACUACAAAAUAUUCCUUGUCUUAUUAUUUAUUGUAAUCUGUGUGGGGCUGUCCCAAGACUGACCUGUAACCUGCAGCUAAUGCAAAUAGAGCAGCUUGACUGUAAUAGGGCAGCCUUCCAUGUUCAUGCUACACCACUGCUGAAAUUAUUGCACUGGCUAGCAACUGGCCACCAGCCUAAGCCUUAGCUGCAAAGAAUAUUACAUGCUACAUGUUCAUAAAAUAAAGAAAGGUAAAGGACCCCUGACAGUUAAGUCCAGUCACGAAUGACUCUGGGAUUGAGGCGCUCAUUUUGCUUUACUGGCCAAAGAAGCCGACAUUUGCCCGCAGACAGUUUUUCUGGGUCAUGUGGCCAGCAUGACUAAGCUGCUUCUGGUGAAACCAGAGCAGCGCACGGAAAUGCCAUUUACCUUCCCGCCGGAGCGGUACCUAUUUCUCUACUUGCACUUUGACGUGCUUUCGAACUGCUAAGUUGACAGGAGUUGGGACUGAGCAACGGGAGCUCACCCUGUCACGGGGAUUUGAAACGCCAACCUUCCGAUAGGCAAGCCCUAAGCUCAGUGGUUUAGACCACAGCACCGCCUGUGUCCCAUAAAAUAGCUGCAUUUUAAAUCUGAUGCUUUUUUAAAAAUAGAAGCUGUGCCACCCUUGCUAUGAAAAUAGAAUGAAAUCAUUUUUUGUACAGUAUUAUUCUAUUCAGACCUUCCUAAUGAUCUUUAACUGCAACAUCAUCACCAGACACCAUUUUAGAACCCAAAGUAAUUAUUGAAGCUACAAUCAAAUGUAGUCUGUGUUAUUUCAAAUGACAGAACAUAGAAUAGCUUCAGGUAAAAUCAUUAAGGGGAAAAUGUAAGGUAAAAAGGACACUGGCAGGUUAACGUAAAACAGCAUUGACAGGGCAACCUAAAUAAAAAUAUGAAACAGAAAAUUUAUCCAAAAUUAGGAGGGUUUUCUACAGCCGUUCUUUUGCAGAAUCCCCAUUAAAACAGUUCCAGACAGCCCAUCUAAAGCUGCAUUUUUGAGUGAGGCCUCUGCAGUUCUUAGCAUCCAUCAUACAAAGCCAUGUCUGAAAUCUAUGCACGGGAUAUUUCUGAUAACACACCCAAAGUUUCCAAAUGUAUGCAUUCCUGAAAGAGGAACCAUGGAAGUGACCCAAAAGGAGAUGUCAGUCAUGGUAUAAAGCCACAUCUAACUUUAGCCCAGGUCCAGAUAACAUGAUGCUGUUACAUGCUAUAGAAAUGAGUGGAAAGGAGCCAAUCAAAAAUCACUUGGGAGACAGUUUCACAUGCUCCUUAAAGAUGACUACACCCCUCUGUUGUGCCACCAUCUUCUGAUGUUAGCAACAAAGCAACGGCAGAACCUGCUGUUUUAGCUGCCCCUAAGGCAACAUUCAAUCCAACUGAAUCAAAUGGUUAUGGUGCUUCACUAAUGUGCUUUUGCCAUUUAAUGAUCUUGAGUCAUCUUCCUAUCAAGUUAAGGUGGAUUAAAUAGAAUCCAAAAGACUUAUCACUUCUUCCACUAAUUAGUUGCUCAAAGAUGAAAUGAUGAAAGGCAUCCUGCUGUGUUGGUUCUGGGCAUUUCACACUUGAAACAUAAAUUGGACUGAUUAUCCUUAAAGACACUGAUUACUAUUGCCGCAUGUCUUUCCUUUCCUUUUUUUUUUUUUUUUAAGUGCCCGGAUAUGCUAAGGGUGUUUGAAGCUGUGUUUGGCUUUUGGCAGUCACAAAGGAAGGGGCAGAUAAAUCUGCCUUUGCAUUUCAACACCUUUUUUUCUGCCACUGCAAAAUUGCAAUUCAGAUUUUUCAAAUGUACCUUGGAUUUAUUUAUUUUUUUAAAAGAUGCUAUGAGAAAAAGCCUGCAAAGAGCAUGCUUAAGCUUUCUUUUUGUUUUUAAGGUGGAUGAGGCAAUCAGUCUCCAUUAAAAACAUUGAGGAAAACAUGAAAUGUAAGUACAAACAAUGUCAGGAAUACAUUUGCUUGUAAGCUUGAGGAUGUUAGAAACUGCCUAGGAUAUUGUUUUUAUCAAAAAUAGAAUGAAUCCCUACAAAAAUGAGAGGCUGGUACAUUGUAGCCUUAAUAACUUCGGGCAACCGACAGCUGCUUCAAGCUCCAUUCGGUGCAAUCAGAUUCCAAGAAAAGUGGAAUCCAGGAGCCAUUAUAUUUAUAUCACGAUUGUUGCUUUCAAAACAAAAUAUGGAAAUUUGGUCAGCUGAAGGAGAACAGGCAAAAAAUUAAAGCCAAAACUUGGCAUGUGGGGAGGCUCAUGAUAAAUUAGGGAAAAAAUGAGAAACUACCAUGGAUGUAGCAUUAAUUGUGUAAAUGAAAUUAGCAUGCUUAUUUUUGCUAUGUAAAUAACAGUUGUGGGAAACCUGAGCUGCCAUGGGGUCUGGGAGAGGAAGUUCAACUCUUUCCCACCCUGCCCCUCUUCCCACAUAAAUCUGAGGUGUUGUUUGCAUUUCAAGAGACAUUCCUGUUGGUUUUAAUUACUUAUCUCCUCUGAGUUUCAUUUUCUUUAUGAAUAGCCCUGCAGGGCUUUCACCACCACAUGCUCUCCUCUCCUCUUUUAGUACCUCUCCAUGCUCCAUAGUACAAAGCAGGCAUUUUUACUAGUGUCCAGUCUUCACACAACCAAAACCGAGGGAUACUGAACUCUGGGGGAUGACCCUGGUGGUAGGCCCCAUUCCCAAUGUCCAUGAGUCCAUCACCUCUAAUGCACAGAGCCAUAAUUCAUACAUGCAGGACAGGGAUGGUGAACCUGUGUGGCUUUCCAGAUCUGUGGAAUUACAGCUCCAAGAAGUUCAGCAUAUUUGACACCAAUUGGUAGCAGCUUUCCAUGAAUUUCAGGCAGGAGUCCUUCCUACUUGUUGCUGAAGAUGUGAGGUAUUGAAAGGCAUGUGCUCUACCACCAAUCUUUUGAAUAAAAUAACUUUAUAGCAUGAUAGGGUUGAAAGACUAAGCUCAGUUGGGAUGACAAGGGGACAUGGGACUCUUAAUCUCAGGGUUGUGCGUUCGAGCCCCACGUUGGGCAAAAAAAUUCAUUUAUAGCGGGGAGUGCCAAGAGAGUGAGAAAUCUCUUGCUUUGCACAAUCCUCUUUAUGGAAGAUAAUGCAUAUCAAUGUUAUCUACCAAUCUGUUUGCCAGCUUGUACUUGGACCUCUAGAGAGCAAGAUACCCAGUCGCACACACUUCCCCUUCACAAUUUUCAUAUGUCCCACAGUUAGUAGAAAAUAAAAUAUAGUAGGAGCCAGCUUAAUGUUUGUGGACCCUGUUUCGACUUUAAAAGGUCAAAUUAGAAGAGACUAUGCAAAGGGAUGCAGGUGGCGCUGUGGUCUAAACCACUGAGCCUUGGACUUGCCGAUCGGAAGGUUGGCAGUUCAAAUCCCCGCGAUGGGGUGAGCUCCCAUUGCUCGGUCCCUGCUCCUGCCCACCCAGCAGUUCGAAAGCAUGUCAAGUGCAAGUAAAUAAAUAGGUACCGCUCCGGCAGGAAGGUAAACGGCGUUUCCGUGCACUGCUCUGGUUCGCCAGAAGCGGCUUAGUCAUGCUGGCCACAUGACCCGGAAGCUGUCUGUGGACAAAUGCUGGCUCCCUUGGCCUAUAGAGUGAGAUGAGCACACAACCCCAGAGUCGUACGCAACUGGAUCUAACAGUCAGGGGUACCUUUACCUUUCUGCAAAGGAAGCCUGUACCUGUAUUUAUGGGUCACAUGAUCACUUCCCACUGCUGUAGCUUUCCCCUCUGUUGUGAGACCAGCAGCAACACCCCAAAUCCCCUUUUCUUUCCUCCUUUGCAUCUAGUCACCAUUAGAACGGAAAACUCCCCUAUGUGCCCUAUGAUACAGCCAUUUCUGCAGCAUAAUCUAACAGAAAGAAAGGAUUACACGUAAGAGAUUAGAUAUGAGGGCACAUCAGGGAACACACAAUUCAAAGCAACCCCCAAGUGUAACUCGUAUCUAUUUGGAGGGUGGAGAAACACAAUCUAAGAGGUACGCAAUUCUGCUUCUCACAAAGGAAGCAAAGCCACAGCGUUCCACAUUGAUGAUCAAGUGUUGUAAAUGAAGACAGCCUAAAGAAGUGUUGAACUCGCUCAUCCUUUAUUAGUUUCUGUCCUAUAAAACCACAAAAUCCAGCCACUCGUUGGCAGAAUGCGAAGUAAACUGGUUAACUGAGGAUGUGUGUAUGUGUGUGAUAAUAGUAUAUAUUCUGUUUGCGGUGUCUGCCUCAAGCCUUUUGAAAUGCCAUACAGGAGUGUUGGUUUAGUUAAUUUCAUUUACUGUCCAAGACAGCUUCUGCAAACAGCCAUUGUUCAGAGAAACAAUUCACUUGGUGCCGCCUUUGCUGUCAUCCUUUACCACCCUCAGCGCACAUCUAUAUCACCCACAGCUGGAUUUUCAUGGCAGAUGUUUCUGUUCCCUCUGGUAUUUCCUCGCACACCCUCUUUCAAAUCCCCCAUUAGCCUCUAAUUCUCCAUUCUCUCUGGCAUUCCCAGGAUUUCAGAAGUGAGAAUAUGUGAAAGAAUUACUACACAGAUUUCCCCAGGGUCAGAGCAGCUGCCCUUUAUCCCAAAACUUUGGAGGAUCUGGCCAGAUUCUAUGAUUCCAGCUGCUUUGAUUUUGUGUUGCUCCACUAAGUUCCCAGUGCUCUUUACAUAGAGUUUCCAGGGGAUUUUUUUACUAGCUCUUCAUAAUUUACAUAUCUUGGCAAGCACUACCAGUGGUUUGUGAAAUCCCUUAUAUGUCAAACAUUCACGUAAACACAAAAGUAUAUUUUAUGUAUAGAAACUAGCAUUCUUCAAUGGAGUGUACAGGCAAGAAAAUCAGAGUUGGAUUAACAUAACUUCUUAUGUAUGCCAAAAAUUAGGAAAAUUGCAUCCACACACUACAGGUACUCCUGUAGAGGUUAUUCGAGACCAUCUUUUUACAAAAAGUGCACAAGGUAGCAUGCCUUGUGAGUUCAGUGUGUGCCACAGGAUGUGCUAAGAGUUAGAUCAUUGGUACCCCUCCUGCGAUUUCUGUUCAUUCUGUGUGUUUUUUAGGGCUGAUGGUGAGUUGAAGUAUCACACUGUUAUUGCUCUACUCGGAGGUGGGGGUAGGGGGGUGUUAAAUUUGAAAUAAAAAUGUGUCUUCACAUUUUCUGCCCCACCAUCAUUUUAAUCUUUGGCUAGUAUGAGUAGUUAUCUGGAUAGGAAAUUCCUAUUCACAAUUCUCAUUCCUGACUGCUCCAUUUUCACAGCCACUGAUACCUAGUGGGAAAAGCAAAAGGUUCUUUUUUUUUAAGCAGUCAACUUGAGUUCUCUUUUUAAUCUAACUUGUCCCAAAUAAAGGUAUUGUUUCACUUCACCUGAGUUUCUGGGCUUGUUGGAGGAUUUUUAAGGAAUUGCAAAACAAAAAUGAGAUGUGUAAGAUGCAUACACACAGUUCUAGUUAGAGGUAGGUAGCCGUGUUGGUCUGCCGUAGUAGAAACAAAAUAAAAAAAUUCCUUCCAGUAGCACCUUAGGGACCAACUAAGUUUGUUAUUGGUAUGAGCUUUCAUAUGCAUGCACACUGAAAGAAUCUGAAGAAGUGUGCAUGCACACGAAAGCUCAUACCAAUAACAAACUUAGUUGGUCACUAAGGUGCUACUGGAAGGAUUUUUUUUUUAAUUUUGUUUUGCAUACACACACAGUAAGCAAUAUGUUCAAAACAAUGUAGAAUAAUUUGUUCAAAACAGGAAUAAGAUGGAUUUCUUUCUCUGCACUUGUCUGCAGAACACAGACAAACCCUGUAAAGCUGCCUAAGGGAAAGGAGAGCCCCAAACAAUAUAAGCACAGCCAAUCUGCCCCCCUCCAGAUACUGUGGGACUUCAACUUCCAUCAGCACCAGUCAGCAUCACCAGUGGUUAGAGCUGAUGGGAGUUGGAGACCCAAACAUCUGGAGGGCACCAUGUUGGCUGUCCUACAGCUUGGACACAUCUUUGUUUUCAAAGCAUGACAAGUUGUUUGAGAAGAGGGAGGGAGGCGGGUAUCAUUUUAGGUUUCCUGAGAGCAGUAGCCCACAAUAUUGUAGCAGAGUGAGAAUAUCCCUGCAAGGAAGGCAUGGCAUGUUAUGGAAAACAUAAACAUUCCUUAUCUUUCUUUCUCCAGUUGCUAAGAUUUCCUGGAAGCUGCCAUUUCCUCUCUUUGACUGAGGAAACAAUGCAAAGCAUGUGCCUGACUCUGUUUGAAUGGGUUGCUGCUGGAUGUGAAAUUGUUCCGUGAUCAAUUAGAGCUAUAUACUAUCUCUGGGAGACAAAGACCUUGACUGCUACUGUGGCGAUGAAGGAGAAAGACUUUGCCGUCCAUGCAAGACUGCAAGCAUAUAGAUAAGCAGCUAGAAGGGGGGAGGGUGAUGUUGUCUUUUCAAUUAUUGACCAUUUGAUGUGUUCUGAGGGCACCCAGCAAUUGUAGGCCAUUUAAGAUGCUCUUGAUGCUCUCACACUCAGCAGGCAGCACAUCCGCACUUCCGAGACGCAAAUACCCUUUAUCCCUCUUUGACUGGUUCCUUCCUACAGGGCAAAAGGAAUAUAAAGUCUCACGCUAUUAACCCGCCCGAGGAAAUAUGACUGAAUGCAUCCCUAUCGUUAUUAAGGCCACUCAGCAGCUGCUUCUGUAAAUCACUUUUAUAUUUGUGCUCUCGGGGAACUGGAGGACAACCUUGUGAAUAGGGUCCCCGGGUUAUUCUACAAGCUCAGGCAAAUGCAUCUCAUAAAACUCUGGCUUUCAAGGUUCUGACCUUGGGUUUCAAAGCACUGUAGAUCUGGAGUGUCAGGGAGCACAUCUUCUGCUCCCCAGUGUGGGGGCAAAGAAAGGCCAAUGUGUAUAUUGUUAAGCUUUUGUAACAACCAAAACCCUGCAUGACAUAAUUUGCAUGUGUGUAUUUGUAUUUGACAGACAACUUGAAGCUCCACAAACUGAUGGCAUAGUGGUAUUUGAAAGAAAGUCAGGAGACCUGAAAAUUAUCUAGCAAUAAGGUUUUCAGGCCUCAGCCAAGCUCUAAAACAGAGGGGUCCAAGAGUGUGGUGUGGGUGGAAGAUGGAGGGGGUGGUCUGUUGCAAGCAAGCAAAGAACCUUAAGACCUGAAGCAGUUAAUAAGAAGAAGAAGAAGAAGAAGAAGAAGAAGAAGAAGAAGAAGAAGAAGAAGUUUUGUUUAUAUCCCACCCUCCCCAGCCAAAGCCAGGCUCAGAGCAGCAGGUCCUUAUAAAGGCUUCCCAUCCCAGUCAGAUUUUCCACCCUGCUUCAUUGAGUAGCCACACCAACUCCUGUGUGUUAGAGUUGUUCACAUUUUGUCAUGCCAGUUGUCCUUUCUGGAUUCUUACCACAAGCCUGCCUUUGAUCAUGACCCCAUCCACACCUUACAUACCAGUCACGGCUUCCCCCAAAGAAUCGUGGGAACUGUCAUUUGUUAAAGUGCCAAGAGUUCUUAGGAAGCUCCUAAUGGAGCUACAAUCCCCAGCAUCCUUAACAAAAAGUACUUCUUCAGUGCAUAGUUAAACCAGGGAACACACUCCCACAGGAGGCAGUGAGGACCACUAGCCUUUUGUUGUUGUUUAGUCGUUUAGUCGUGUCCGACUCUUCGUGACCCCAUGGACCAGAGCACGCCAGGCACUUCUGUCUUCCACUGCCUCCCGCAGUUUGGUCAGACUCAUGUUUGUAGCUUCGAGAACACUGUCUAACCAUCUCAUCCUCUGUCGUCCCCUUCUUCUUGUGCCCUCAAUCUUUCCCAACAUCAGGGUCUUUUCCAGGGAGUCUUCUCUUCUUAUGAGGUGGCCAAAGUAUUGGAGCCUCAGCUUCACGAUCUGUCCUUCCAGUGAGCACUCAGGACUGAUUUCCUUCAGAAUGGAUAGGUUUGAUCUUCUUGCAGUCCAUGGGACUCUCAAGAGUCUCCUCCAGCACCAUAAUUCAAAAGCAUCAAUUCUUCGGCGAUCAGCCUUCUUUAUGGUCCAGCUCUCACUUCCAUACAUCACUACUGGGAAAACCAUGGCUUUAACUAUAUGGACCUUUGUUGGCAAGGUGAUGUCUCUGCUUUUUAAGAUGCUGUCUAGGUUUGCCAUCGCUUUUCUCCCAAGGAGCAGGCGUCUUUUAAUUUCAUGACUGCUGUCACCAUCUGCAAUGAUCAUGGAGCCCAAGAAAGUAAAAUCUCUCACUGCC